This 549-nucleotide ribosomal RNA is filed under the name uncultured Glomus. RNAcentral's name for it is "SSU rRNA". It matches the Rfam family "Eukaryotic small subunit ribosomal RNA", at positions 548 to 1098 of the family's 1831-position model. The record is from RNAcentral. Lineage: Eukaryota; Fungi; Glomeromycota; Glomeromycetes; Glomerales; Glomeraceae.
UUGGAGGGCAAGUCUGGUGCCAGCAGCCGCGGUAAUUCCAGCUCCAAUAGCGUAUAUUAAAGUUGUUGCAGUUAAAAAGCUCGUAGUUGAAUUUCGGGGUCAGUAGGUUGGUCGUGCCACCGGUACGUACUGGUCUCACUGAUUCCUCCUUCCUGAAGAACCGCAAUGCCAUUAAUUUGGUGUUGCGGGGAAACAGGACUGUUACUUUGAAAAAAUUAGAGUGUUUAAAGCAAGCUAACGCUUGAAUACAUUAGCAUGGAAUAAUGAAAUAGGACGAUCGAUCCUAUUUUGUUGGUUUCUAGGAUUGACGUAAUGAUUAAUAGGGAUAGUUGGGGGCAUUAGUAUUCAAUUGUCAGAGGUGAAAUUCUUGGAUUUAUUGAAGACUAACUACUGCGAAAGCAUUUGCCAAGGAUGUCUUCAUUAAUCAAGAACGAAAGUUAGGGGAUCGAAGACGAUCAGAUACCGUCGUAGUCUUAACCAUAAACUAUGCCGACUAGGGAUCGGGUGAUGUUAAUUUUAUAAUGACUCAUUCGGCGCCUUACGGGAAAC